UGGACCGUCUCCAUCCCAUCCUCUGCGCCUCUCACUGAAACUCUUAUCCAUUCUCUUUCUUUGCCCCAACAAAAGAAAAAAUCUCUCACUUUCUCUUACCAAUUUUUUUGGACUAUAGCCAUCGCCCUGAAACUUCCACUUCCUCACAGCCUCAAAUUAAAGUGAUGUGAAUGAGAAAAGGCUGUGCUGAAAGGAUUUGAUAGCUCUACUAGAUCUUAUUCUUAAAGGUUAAUUCCAAAAAUUGAGGUAGCAUGUUAGUCCCUCACUCUCAGUGCUGUGAAAACCCACCAAUUCUAUGCUCAAGCACUAGAACGGGGCAUGUUGAAGAGCUUGGAGGCCUCAAAUACUAUAUUUCUGGCACUGCGGAUUCCAAGCUUGCAGCUAUUCUGGUCUGUAAUGUUUUUUGUAUGUAGUUUCUAAAAUAUUUGAUUUUGGGUAUUGUAAAGUUUUAAUCUCGUGUUGAUUUAGGGGGAUGUAUUCAAUUAGGACUUUUGAAGAUUCUGAUGAAAUUUUUUUAAGUUAUGACUUUUGUGGAUUUUAUGGAUCUUUUAAAAAUUUAUAUGAAAUUAGUGAAAGUCUUUCGUAGAUUUCUAUGGAUUUUCAUUUUAAAAUUUUUAUAGACUUCUGUGAAAUUCAAAUACUUUUUUUUAUAAUUUAAUAAAAAAUAGAUAUUUUUCACAAAAAAUGAAUGAAAAAAAAAAGUUAUAGGAAUCCUAUUUAAUUUUUCAUUAAAAAAAGAGAUAAAUAAUAAGAGAGAGAAAAAUAAAUGGAAUAUAAUAAAUAUAAAAAAAAUAAAUUUUAAUUAUGCAUGUCCAUAGAAGGUUAAAGGAAAGAAAGAUUGAAAAAAAAAAUUGCGAAAGUCUUUCAAAAUUUCGUAAUUAAUGAGAGACAAAUUUUAACAUAUUAUAUGAGUAUUUUCUACUUAAAAGUUAGUACUUCAGAGACUUUUAUAAAAGUCUCUAGAAGUCAUUAAAAUUUGAAUACCCCAAAACUUAUAGAGACUUCUAAAACGUUUUAAUUGAAUACACCGUAACUUUUAGAGACUUUUUAAAAAUCUAUAAAAGUCUUAAUUGAAUAAACCGUGACUUUUAGAAAGUCUCAAUUGAAUAUCCUUAAACUUUUUAAAUUCCAAAAAGUCAUUAGUGUUUCUUCUGUAGAGUUUUUAUUUUUUUAAUUAUUAUUAUUAUUAUUAUUUUUUUUUAUUACAGAAAACAGGUGGUAAAAAUUAUUUAUAUUCUUGAAUGUGUGUCCUUUUGUAGAGUUUCAUUUGGCCGAGUUAGGUUUGUGUGUUAUAAAGUGGUUUAUUAUCAAGCAAGAUUUCAUUUUUGUUGCAUAUUUCAAUUGGGUUUUCUUAUUUAUGUUCUCGAGUAUGUGAUUUGGAUACCUUAAAGCCUCAAAAAUUUCUUAUCUUAUUCAAUGGUAUUAGUUGUUUUUAAGGUUAUGAACGCAUUUGUCUAUUGGAUAUAUCAUAUUUUCUAUCUGAAACCAUAAAAACAACGUAAAAUGAAAAUCCAUUUCAAUCAAAAUAUAGGAUUUAUCAAAAUGAUCAAAAUCUACAUGCAGAAGGAAUGAAUAAUUUUACUUGUGGCUAUCUUCCGAUUCCAGAUUCUGAAUUGCCUAUUGAAUUUUAAACCACUGCUAUCUAAUAUGAUUUUUUGGAUUUGUGAUAGUAAUGCUCACAUUUCAAUUUUCUAGGAUUUUAACAUCGCUCCAAUCCCACUAUCUGCCCAAGCAACUUUCCCUACAUAUUUGCAGUGAACACAUUUUUAUAGGCAAGUG
Molecule: long non-coding RNA, 1779 nt
Filed under: Olea europaea (common olive)
Lineage: Eukaryota; Viridiplantae; Streptophyta; Magnoliopsida; Lamiales; Oleaceae
Description: long non-coding RNA (OEUR_LNC006224)
Source: RNAcentral